This 406-nucleotide ribosomal RNA is filed under the name uncultured Nitrosomonas sp. RNAcentral's name for it is "bacterial SSU rRNA". It matches the Rfam family "Bacterial small subunit ribosomal RNA", at positions 224 to 622 of the family's 1533-position model. The record is from RNAcentral. Lineage: Bacteria; Pseudomonadati; Pseudomonadota; Betaproteobacteria; Nitrosomonadales; Nitrosomonadaceae.
GAGCGGCCGAUGUCUGAUUAGCUAGUUGGUAAGGUAAUGGCUUACCAAGGCAACGAUCAGUAGUUGGUCUGAGAGGACGACCAGCCACACUGGGACUGAGACACGGCCCAGACUCCUACGGGAGGCAGCAGUGGGGAAUUUUGGACAAUGGGCGCAAGCCUGAUCCAGCAAUGCCGCGUGAGUGAAGAAGGCCUUCGGGUUGUAAAGCUCUUUCAGUUGAGAAGAAAAGAUUGUGACUAAUAAUUGCAAUUCAUGACGGUAUCAACAGAAGAAGCACCGGCUAACUACGUGCCAGCAGCCGCGGUAAUACGUAGGGUGCGAGCGUUAAUCGGAAUUACUGGGCGUAAAGGGUGCGCAGGCGGUUCUGUAAGUCAGAUGUGAAAUCCCCGGGCUUAACCUGGGAACU